CCUACGGGAGGCAGCAGUGAGGAAUAUUGGUCAAUGGACGGGAGACUGAACCAGCCAAGCCGCGUGCGGGAGGAAGGUACUGAGUAUCGUAAACCUCUUUUGUCCGGGGACAAAGGCGGGGACUAGUAUCUGUCUGAGGGUACCUUAAGAAAAAGCAUCGGCUAACUCCGUGCCAGCAGCCGCGGUAAUACGGAGGAUGCGAGCGUUAUCCGGAUUUAUUGGGUUUAAAGGGUGCGGAGGCGGCCUGUUAAGUCAGCGGGAAAAUCCCGGGGCUCAACCCCGGCGAGCCGUUGAAACUGGCGGGCUGGAGUUGGAGAGAAGUACGCGGAAUGCGCGGUGUAGCGGUGAAAUGCUUAGAUAUCACGCAGAACCCCGAUUGCGAAGGCAGCGUACCG
RNAcentral lists this ribosomal RNA (395 nucleotides) under uncultured bacterium. Its description in RNAcentral is "partial 16S ribosomal RNA". It matches the Rfam family "Bacterial small subunit ribosomal RNA", at positions 338 to 731 of the family's 1533-position model. The record is from RNAcentral.